RNAcentral lists this long non-coding RNA (357 nucleotides) under Helianthus annuus (common sunflower). RNAcentral's name for it is "sRNA HanXRQr2_Chr15g0692751". Lineage: Eukaryota; Viridiplantae; Streptophyta; Magnoliopsida; Asterales; Asteraceae. The record is from RNAcentral.
GGUGUAAACCGGUACAAGUCAUGUAGACGAGAUGAUGAUAAAUCCAUCUCGCAAAAGUAAACGGUCAUUUAGACCAAACGGGUCAAAAGGUGAAAAUAUCACCCUUUGACAAUAUCGACUAAUGGUUUGUCGAGUUGUAUGAUUACAGGAAUAAAUAUCGAUUGAAUGUUGACAUCGCUAUUACUUAGCGGCUACUAAGGCAAGGUAUCGAAACGGGUCAAUAUAUUGAUCCGAGCCAGGUUUGUAUAAUGAUUCAACUCGUGAAGAUGGACCUAAUCCGGAUGAAGAUCAAGCGGCGAGCAAGAACCGAACACACGUUAAAUGAAGCUUCCGCGUCAAAUCUUGAUUUGUGUUGAU